CACUAUGGCUGUAACGAUGCAUCGAACUAUCGAUGGAUUGUAAUUGUUGAGUCUCCGACAGCAAGUAAUCGAUGGUAGAAAGGAAAAAUUAUCGAUACAUCGAUAGUACGUGUCACGGGGAGAGUACACGU
Long non-coding RNA from Haliotis rubra (blacklip abalone), 131 nucleotides. RefSeq lists it as uncharacterized. Lineage: Eukaryota; Metazoa; Mollusca; Gastropoda; Lepetellida; Haliotidae. The record is from RefSeq and is a predicted model, not a curated record. The transcript has 3 exons.